RNAcentral lists this non-coding RNA (186 nucleotides) under Rhodospirillaceae bacterium. RNAcentral describes it as "6S RNA". It matches the Rfam family "6S / SsrS RNA". From Rfam's summary of the family: E. coli 6S RNA was the first non coding RNA to be sequenced, but its function was unknown until recently. It consists of 184 nucleotides that fold into an extended hairpin structure with a large single-stranded internal bulge. The record is from RNAcentral. Lineage: Bacteria; Pseudomonadati; Pseudomonadota; Alphaproteobacteria; Rhodospirillales; Rhodospirillaceae.
UGCUCCCUGCGGUGUUCGAUAUAGGCUGGAUAGUCUUUCGACCCUAAUUUUUGAUCUUGGGGUUGUGUUCUGUCGGUAGCGUUGUGCAGAUCUGGCUUUGCCAGAGAGCCUGCAACUGCCACGGCUUACCCCACCUAUUGCUCUGGUUCGAGAGCAACCAACUAUGACGGCACUAUCGGGGAGCAC